UACGUAGGGUGCAAGCGUUAAUCGGAAUUACUGGGCGUAAAGCGUGCGCAGGCGGUUAUGUAGGACAGAUGUGAAAUGCCCGGGCUUAACCUGGGAACUGCAUUUGUGACUGCAUGGCUAGAGUUUGGCAGAGGGGGGUAGAAUUCCACGUGUAGCAGUGAAAUGCGUAGAUAUGUGGAGGAACGCCGAUGGCGAAGGCAGCCCCCUGGGUCAAGACUGACGCUCAUGCACGAAAGCGUGGGGAGCAAACAGG
RNAcentral lists this ribosomal RNA (253 nucleotides) under uncultured bacterium. RNAcentral's name for it is "partial 16S ribosomal RNA". It matches the Rfam family "Bacterial small subunit ribosomal RNA", at positions 524 to 776 of the family's 1533-position model. The record is from RNAcentral.